Scatophagus argus is the source of this 1169-nucleotide long non-coding RNA. RefSeq lists it as uncharacterized. NCBI's taxonomy places the organism in Eukaryota, Metazoa, Chordata, Actinopteri, Scatophagidae. The record is from RefSeq and is a predicted model, not a curated record. The transcript has 3 exons.
CUGCAGCUGCCGAGCAACACGUGGAGGCUCCACGAUCCACGAGUCCGACACGUUCAAGUGCCGUUUUUGCAUCAUUAAAACGGGUGACGUGUGCAUGUUUGAGUUUCUGGUGGUGGAUGUUGUGACUGGAGCCAAACAAGCGUUUCCGGUCUUUAUGCUGAGCUAACUGGAUUAAAUAAAAAAAUCUAAAAUGUUCCCACAGCAGUCAGAAACCUGUUAGAACACAAACAGACUCCUGGGUGGGCCGCAGGUAGCCUCUGUUUGCUUCAUUCACCUGCGUGGAGACGACGUCCCCGCGGCCUGAAGGGAAAACCCGUCAGAACGAGUCUGAGGAACCGCGUUCAUGUUCAGACCUGAUGGAGGAAGUUCACGUCGACGGAUUCCCCCCAGCUGAGCCGUGAGGAGGAAUCAGCUGCUCUCAUUGAUAUGCAGGUGUUAUCAGCUUCAGUUACAUGUAGGCGGCAAAGGCUCUUGUACAGGUGACAGGUGAGCCAAUCAGAUUAAAACUUUGGAUUUUCAGAUGUCUUCUCUCUGCUGCACAGAAAGCCAGUGGACGGAGACAAAUGAACACCACUUUGGGAGGCCUAAAACACUCCGCGCUGACGGAUCUACAGGCAGGUGGACUCCUGGUCGACAUGCAGCCACACUCGAGUCACAGUGGUCACGCUUGGUAACUACACAGAAACUGGGCUGCAGUUACGCUCCGUAACUCCUGAUCUCAGCUGAUCCUUACAGAUGUUCCUGUGGUUGGAGCAACACUCCAGAGAGAAGAUUUUACAAAGGAAAGAAGUGACACCAGUCCAACCAGUCGCCUCUUGAUGUCACGCAGAACCAACAACAUCCCAGGCCACUGACUCUCUCUUGUAUACAGUACAAGUAUUCAGUACAUGUACUUGUAUAUUUUCUUCUUUCAGCCAUACAGACAUCUGAGCCAAAUGCUCACAUCUGAAUUCCACUUGCUUAACAUGCUGAUGUUUAUCAGGUAUGAGGUCACCCGUGUGCAACAUCGCUUAGCUGACAAGCUAACAUUAGCUAAUUAGCAGUUAGCACAAAGUGCAGUUGAGGCUGAUGAGAACGUCAUUAGCUCUGCAGGUAAACCAAAGUUAAAUGCUGACCUGAUGAUGGUGCUACAUGAAAAGUCAGAGCAUCUUCAAAGUCAGCGCGGUUCA